Molecule: long non-coding RNA, 559 nt
Organism: Diceros bicornis minor
Lineage: Eukaryota; Metazoa; Chordata; Mammalia; Perissodactyla; Rhinocerotidae
Exons: 3
Source: RefSeq, a predicted model, not a curated record
CCCGGAGGUGGCGCGCACGAUCCGGACAGGUUUCUCGCGGCUUUGAAAUGAAGGGGUCUUGAAACUGACACUCGUUUGAUUUAACCAGCUUAAUAAGUUUAUUUAGAUCAAGAGGAAAUACUUCCCUGGAGUAUUUUGGAUUGAAAACAUUAUCCUGCAAGUUUUCGUAUGCUGUGGUUAUUUGCGACUGGUACCAAAGCCGGUUCUUGGCUAUGGGUUUUGCUUGUUAGGUCUUGGCGCUGGGUCCCACCAGGUUCCCAGACCUCGUGUGGCUAAUUUUAGUAACGUGUUACGUGACACGAGGUUGUGGGGCCACUACCAAUGCUGCUGCCUUUUGUGAAGCCUGUUUCCAAGGGGCCUAAGCCGAUGGGCGUGGAUACUGCUGUACUCUGCUCUGUCCUGCGUGCCUUAAAAUUUUCUGAAGUGCUGAUUUCGGCUCGUGAAGUUUAACUUCAGUCAAGCUGUGCCUUCACUGGUCUUUGGGGCGGAGGCCAAUUCACAAUAGUUUAUGGCUGCAAAUUUUCUGAUGCCCACUCCACAAGCAAACUUCAGAUCUUUU